AAACAGGUUAAUAUUCCUGUACUUCUGGUUACUGCGAUGGAGGGACGGAGAAGGCUAGGCCAGCUUGGCCUUGGUUGUCCAAGUUUAAGGUGGUAGGCUGAAAUCUUAGGUAAAUCCGGGGUUUCAAGGCCGAGAGCUGAUGACGAGUCGUCUUUUAGAUGACGAAGUGGUUGAUGCCAUGCUUCCAAGAAAAGCUUCUAAGCUUCAGGUAACCAGGAACCGUACCCCAAACCGACACAGGUGGUCGGGUAGAGAAUACCAAGGCGCUUGAGAGAACUCGGGUGAAGGAACUAGGCAAAAUGGCACCGUAACUUCGGGAGAAGGUGCGCCGGCUAGGGUGAAGGAUUUAUUCCGUAAGCUCUGGCUGGUCGAAGAUACCAGGCCGCUGCGACUGUUUAUUAAAAACACAGCACUCUGCAAACACGAAAGUGGACGUAUAGGGUGUGACGCCUGCCCGGUGCCGGAAGGUUAAUUGAUGGGGUUAGCGCAAGCGAAGCUCUUGAUCGAAGCCCCGGUAAACGGCGGCCGUAACAAUAACGGUCCUAAGGUAGCGAAAUUCCUUGUCGGGUAAGUUCCGACCUGCACGAAUGGCGUAACGAUGGCGGCGCUGUCUCCACCCGAGACUCAGUGAAAUUGAAAUCGCUGUGAAGAUGCAGUGUAUCCGCGGCUAGACGGAAAGACCCCGUGAACCUUUACUCUAGCUUUGCACUGGACUUUGAGCCUGCUUGUGUAGGAUAGGUGGGAGGCUUUGAAGCGUGGACGCCAGUUCGCGUGGAGCCAUCCUUGAAAUACCACCCUGGCAUGCUUGAGGUUCUAACUCUGGUCCGUAAUCCGGAUCGAGGACAGUGUAUGGUGGGCAGUUUGACUGGGGCGGUCUCCUCCUAAAGAGUAACGGAGGAGUACGAAGGUGCGCUCAGACCGGUCGGAAAUCGGUCGCAGAGUAUAAAGGCAAAAGCGCGCUUGACUGCGAGACAGACACGUCGAGCAGGUACGAAAGUAGGUCUUAGUGAUCCGGUGGUUCUGUAUGGAAGGGCCAUCGCUCAACGGAUAAAAGGUACUCCGGGGAUAACAGGCUGAUACCGCCCAAGAGUUCAUAUCGACGGCGGUGUUUGGCACCUCGAUGUCGGCUCAUCACAUCCUGGGGCUGAAGCCGGUCCCAAGGGUAUGGCUGUUCACCAUUUAAAGUGGUACGCGAGCUGGGUUUAGAACGUCGUGAGACAGUUCGGUCCCUAUCUGCCGUGGACGUUUGAGAUUUGAGAGGGGCUGCUCCUAGUACGAGAGGACCGGAGUGGACGAACCUCUGGUGUUCCGGUUGUCACGCCAGUGGCAUUGCCGGGUAGCUAUGUUCGGAAAAGAUAACCGCUGAAAGCAUCUAAGCGGGAAACUUGCCUCAAGAUGAGAUCUCACUGGGAACUUGAUUCCCCUGAAGGGCCGUCGAAGACUACGACGUUGAUAGGCUGGGUGUGUAAGCGUUGUGAGGCGUUGAGCUAACCAGUACUAAUUGCCCGUGAG
Molecule: ribosomal RNA, 1512 nt
Filed under: metagenome
Description: bacterial LSU rRNA
Rfam family: Bacterial large subunit ribosomal RNA
Source: RNAcentral